UAGCGGCGGACGGGUGAGUAACACGUGGGCAACCUGCCUGUCAGACUGGGAUAACUUCGGGAAAGCGAAGCUAAUACGGGAUAGGAUCCUCUCCGGCAUGAGAGAUGAUUGAAAGAUGGUUUCGGCUAUCACUUACAGAUGGGCCCGCGGUGCAUUAGCUAGUUGGUGAGGUAACGGCUCACCAAGGCAACGAUGCAUAGCCGACCUGAGAGGGUGAUCGGCCACACUAGGACUGAGACACGGUCCAGACUCCUACGGGAGGCAGCAGUAGGGAAUCUUCCGCAAUGGACGAAAGUCUGACGGAGCAACGCCGCGUGAGUGAUGAAGGCUUUCGGGUCGUAAAACUCUGUUGUUAGGGAAGAACAAGUACGAGAGUAACUGCUCGUACCUUGACGGUACCUAACCAGAAAGCCACGGCUAACUACGUGCCAGCAGCCGCGGUAAUACGUAGGUGGCAAGCGUUAUCCGGAAUUAUUGGGCGUACAGCGCGCGCAGGCGGUUUCUUAAGUCUGAUGUGAAAGC
RNAcentral lists this ribosomal RNA (522 nucleotides) under uncultured Bacillus sp. RNAcentral describes it as "bacterial SSU rRNA". It matches the Rfam family "Bacterial small subunit ribosomal RNA", at positions 93 to 601 of the family's 1533-position model. Lineage: Bacteria; Bacillati; Bacillota; Bacilli; Caryophanales; Bacillaceae. The record is from RNAcentral.